GUCCACAUAGCUCAGCAGGAUAGAGCAACGGCCUUCUAAGCCGUAGGUCGGGAGUUCGAAUCUCUCUGUGGACGCCA
Molecule: transfer RNA, 77 nt
Filed under: bacterium
Lineage: Bacteria
Description: tRNA-Arg
Rfam family: tRNA
About the family: Transfer RNA (tRNA) molecules are approximately 80 nucleotides in length.
Source: RNAcentral